Molecule: transfer RNA, 98 nt
Filed under: Kushneria phyllosphaerae
Lineage: Bacteria; Pseudomonadati; Pseudomonadota; Gammaproteobacteria; Oceanospirillales; Halomonadaceae
Description: tRNA-Asn
Source: RNAcentral
CGUAAAGGAGUUUUAUGGAUACAAAAAAAGGCCGUUGUUGACGGCCUUUUCGAGGUUUGUGCCAUUGCUUAUGACUGCUCGGGAUAGUCCCUUUGUGU